AAUGUACACCGUCACCGUUCUCUUAAUACAUCCAUGCCGUACACCCCGACGAUUGACUUUUUUUUACCUCCUGAUGUGUAGCUGAGAAGUAAACGUUAACCUCCCCUCCGGUGAUUUGUAAUUAUAAUGUAUCAACGUUUAUGAACAUUAACUACGUGAAAUGGCGUGCACGUCCAGAGAGUCUACGGUGAGGUCGUAGGGGUCCAUGUUAAGCUUGUUGAAGACUUCCUUGAGUGUGAGCUUUUGGCUGCCCUUCUCCAAGACGACACGAUCUGCCUCUGUCUGUAUCCCAUACAAGUUGGGGCUGAGGAGGUUCCAGAGUAACGCCUACAACUCCCCCAUCUGGACAGAAAAGGAAAAUCUUCCAUUAGGAUAGUCUCUCUCACGGCCCCUGAAUGGCUGGAUGAGAAUUUGAAUUUUGUAUACUUAUGCCUCAACUUUU
Molecule: long non-coding RNA, 442 nt
Organism: Sander lucioperca (pikeperch)
Lineage: Eukaryota; Metazoa; Chordata; Actinopteri; Perciformes; Percidae
Exons: 3
Source: RefSeq, a predicted model, not a curated record